RNAcentral lists this ribosomal RNA (253 nucleotides) under uncultured bacterium. Its description in RNAcentral is "partial 16S ribosomal RNA". It matches the Rfam family "Bacterial small subunit ribosomal RNA", at positions 524 to 776 of the family's 1533-position model. The record is from RNAcentral.
UACGUAGGGUGCAAGCGUUAAUCGGAAUUACUGGGCGUAAAGCGUGCGCAGGCGGUUGUGUAAGACAGAUGUGAAAUCCCCGGGCUCAACCUGGGAACUGCAUUUGUGACUGCACAGCUGGAGUGCGGCAGAGGGGGAUGGAAUUCCGCGUGUAGCAGCGAAAUGCGUAGAUAUGCGGAGGAACACCGAUGGCGAAGGCAAUCCCCUGGGCCUGCACUGACGCUCAUGCACGAAAGCGUGGGGAGCAAACAGG